Equus quagga is the source of this 3093-nucleotide RNA transcript. It is a transcript of the gene named nudix hydrolase 16 like 1, with no coding region annotated. Lineage: Eukaryota; Metazoa; Chordata; Mammalia; Perissodactyla; Equidae. The transcript is spliced from 4 exons. The record is from RefSeq and is a predicted model, not a curated record.
CCCUGAACCUGGAAGCGCGUCCCAGGCAGCUGGCCCAGCAAGUGCAGAGGCCCAGAGGCAGAAGUGAACCUAGUGUGUCCACUGAGUGGAAAGAAGCCCAAGUGGCUGGAACGUUGGAGUCAACAGGGGUAGGGUACAGACACCGCCAGAUGUUGUGGGGGUGGUCAGAGUUUUAUUCUGACAACAAUCGGAGGUUUUUACGCAUGGCUGUCAGGCGGGGGGAAUGGAGUUGGGGAGGCAGGUUGGGCUGCCAGGAUAGUGGAGCCCAGCCGGGGUCCUCUGUUUGGCCCAGAGAGUGGCCUCCCAGUGGGGAGAGGCUGGUGCCCCAGAGGGCCCGGCACAGCACCGCUUGCACCACUGCCAGCCGGCAGGGCCCCCUGGCUCCUUUGCAAACACGGUUCCACACUGCCUCCAUGGGAGCCCUCUGACUCAGGUGGAACCACUGUUCUCGGCUGGCCAGUCCCUCCCCCAGGAAAGGCCCUGCAGCUGGCCGUGGGUGGAUCUGGUGGGUAGAAUAGCACUCAGGGUCAGGUGGGUUCUUGCAUGGACUGCCCUGGACCUCCCUCCACCCUUCUCCAAACAGGCCUGCCUCCUUUAUUAACGUCUGCUGUCGGGUGGGGGCUGGGCCCCGGGGCUUGCCUUUCCUCCGUGCCCCCUGCUCCCCACGGGCCCUGGGCUCGGGUCAGACCCUGCGGCCUGGAGACAGGGUCCUGUCUGGAUGGGCCCUUCCCCUCACUGACCUCUCCCCUUCAGACACCGUCACUUGCCCCAGAAUCUGGCUGCCUCCUGUCCCCUGCCGCCUGCCCCCUGGCCCCUGGCAGAGGGUCACAGCGGGAGAGAACCUCCCUCUUUAGAGGGUCCUUAGUCCCAUGUCUCCUGACAGACCACCACCACGGACCGAACGUGUGAGUGUUUAUGGCGGAUCCUGCCAGCUCUUGCCCACCCUCUGCCCGCUGUCCUUUCCUGCUCGGCCCCACUCAGGGCAGCUUUCCCUGAGCCACAGGGCUGCCCGCACCGCGUGGCUCCCCCAGGCUGUGCCGGGCACCCGUCCUGAGUGCGGGCGGUGGUUCCUUCACUCAGCAAACCCCCCACCGUGGGGAGGAAAGUGGAGCUUGGGCCAGCGGGUGAGUGAGGGGCACCAUCGCAGGAUUCCGGGGGCCCUGCCGCUCUGCCCGAUGCUCCCAAGCUCCAGCGACUUCCUUCUGCAGCGCAAACGUGGGAAGGUAAGUACCUCAGGCGGAAGCCGGGAGGUUUUCCGUGGCGGACAUCGGCAGGAGACAGGGUGGGAAUGUAGGGCGGGAUCCUGGCUCCGCCAAAAACUGCAGAGUGCCCCCGGGCCAGCCCUGGUCCUCUGAGCCCAGGCUCCUGUUCGGUCAGUUGGGAAGACCCCGCUUCCUUCAGCAGUACCUGGCAUUUGGCGCCCGUCUCGGAGGAUCCUUGGGGCGCUGGGCGGGGAAGCGCCCAGCCCCGGGAUUUCAGUCCCUGCCGCCCCAGCAGGCCGGCGCCCAGGGCGGAGCGUGGGCUGGGGCUGUGUGGGCAGCUCGCCCGGCCCUGCUCUCGUGCCCUCUGGCGUCAGGCCGACCAGCAGUGUCCUUGGGCUCGAGCGCGUGCAGGGGAGGGGGCGGCCUCUGGUCUCGGGCUCCGCGGAGCGCUCCCGUGGAGGCGGGAGGCGCACGGGCAGACGCCAGGCCGGGCGGGGGCCGCUCCCAGGGAGGAGCUGGGGGAAGGCCGGGAUGGGCGCCGCCGCUCGCUGGGGCUCCCCCUGCCCUCGGGGCAGGCAGGUGCCGGGUACCCCGCCGAGGUCGCGCGCGGCCCGGGCGCUCGGCUGGCGCGCUGCAGCCUGCGCGCCGGGGACUUCGAGGCCGUGGGCGGGGCCGCCGCUCGGGGUGCGCGGCGAUUGGAUGGCGGCUGGGACGCGCGCCGCCGCUCCCUUUGCACACGCCCCUUCCACCUCUCAACGACGCCUCGGAGCGCCGCGAUGGGCUCUGCCCCAGUGCGCGUCGGCGAUUGGUGGAGGGGCGUGGCCCAGGGGCGCGGCUGCCCGCGGAUUGGCCGGGCGCGGCGGGGGCGGACCCGCGCAUGCACUUAAGGGGCGGUGCCGGGGUGCGGGGGGCAGUGCCAAGAUGUCGACGGCGGCGGUACCGGAGCUGAAGCAGAUCAGCCGGGUGGAGGCGAUGCGCCUGGGGCCGGGCUGGAGCCACUCGUGCCACGCCAUGCUGUAUGCCGCCAACCCCGGGCAGCUCUUCGGCCGCAUCCCCAUGCGCUUCUCGGUGCUGAUGCAGAUGCGCUUCGACGGGCUGCUGGGCUUCCCCGGGGGCUUCGUGGACCGGCGCUUCUGGUCGCUGGAGGACGGCCUGAACCGGGUGCUGGGCCUGGGCCUGGGCUGCCUGCGCCUCACCGAGGCCGACUACCUGAGCUCGCACCUGACCGAGGGCCCGCACCGCGUCGUGGCGCACCUGUACGCGCGCCAGCUCACGCUGGAGCAGCUGCACGCCGUGGAGAUCAGCGCGGUGCACUCGCGCGACCACGGCCUGGAGGUGGGGCCGCCGCCCGGGCCCCGCCCCCCGCCCCGGGGUUUGGCUCUGGCCCCGCGGAAGGCACCGAUGGGUGCUGGGGCUCGUGCGCGUCCCACUCUACACCCAGAAGGACCGAGUCGGCGGCUUCCCCAACUUCCUGAGCAAUGCCUUCAUCAGCACAGCCAAGUACCAGCUCCUCUUCGCUCUCAAGGUGCUCAACAUGAUGCCCGAGGAGAAGCUGGCUGAGGCCUUGGCUGCGGCCACUGAGAAGCAGAAGAAGGCCCUGGAGAAGCUUCUCCCGUCUUCCUCCUGAGCACCGUCUGCAGGCACCUCCAGGGGACGGUCUGGAAGCACUGGCCGAGUGUGCAGAUGACAGCAGCAGAGCCACUGCAGACAGGAAGGUCACCACUGGCGGUCUCCUAUGGCCAUGUCUGGAAAGUCUCCCCAGCGCCCGCCUGGCCUGGUAAGGAGAGCGGCACCCCGCCCAGCUGGGCAUCUGUUCGCCUUAGAGCCCGAGGGAGCGGCCGGCGCUGUGGGCACAGGCACUUGACUCUGUAAAUAAAGUACCUGGACCUUG